Ruditapes philippinarum (Manila clam) is the source of this 291-nucleotide long non-coding RNA. RefSeq lists it as uncharacterized. NCBI's taxonomy places the organism in Eukaryota, Metazoa, Mollusca, Bivalvia, Venerida, Veneridae. The record is from RefSeq and is a predicted model, not a curated record. The transcript has 2 exons.
GUGACGUAAGCAACAGGACUUGUGUAACAGACUAACAGUUAUGCACAUUUCAAAAGCCAUAUACCACAGGUUUUGCACAAUUGUAAAGCAUUUAUAUAUAAUAUCAUUAACAAAUAGAUCACAUGUAUCGUUAUCACUAAAAAGGUAAUUAGUGAUAGAAAUUAUUCUUGUGCAUUAAAAUAAAGGAUAAACUACACAAACCACCAAUUUCUUUAUUAACUUUCUGAUGUGUAUUAAUGGCAUUGUAUUUUUACAUGUAAGAAACAAUAACUUAAUUGACAAAAUAUAAAA